UCACUUACCUAGACGGGGUCUAUGAGUCAUUGUGUAGGCUCAUGGCCUAGGCUGCUGACUUCCAUUGCACAUUGCGGAGGGCAGCUGCCUAAGAUCAUCCAAAGAAGGUAAGUCCACGUCAUAAUUUGUGAUAGUAGGGGCCUACGUUCACGCAACCCCUGU
Amaranthus tricolor (Joseph's coat) is the source of this 162-nucleotide small nuclear RNA. RefSeq annotates it as U1 spliceosomal RNA. The transcript has a single exon. The record is from RefSeq and is a predicted model, not a curated record. NCBI's taxonomy places the organism in Eukaryota, Viridiplantae, Streptophyta, Magnoliopsida, Caryophyllales, Amaranthaceae.